UUCCUACGGGAGGCAGCAGUGGGGAAUCUUGCGCAAUGGGCGAAAGCCUGACGCAGCCAUGCCGCGUGAAUGAUGAAGGUCUUAGGAUUGUAAAAUUCUUUCACCGGGGACGAUAAUGACGGUACCCGGAGAAGAAGCCCCGGCUAACUUCGUGCCAGCAGCCGCGGUAAUACGAAGGGGGCUAGCGUUGCUCGGAAUUACUGGGCGUAAAGGGCGCGUAGGCGGAUCGUUAAGUCAGGGGUGAAAUCCCGGGGCUCAACCUCGGAACUGCCCUUGAUACUGGCGAUCUUGAGUAUGAGAGAGGUAUGUGGAACUCCGAGUGUAGAGGUGAAAUUCGUAGAUAUUCGGAAGAACACCAGUGGCGAAGGCGACAUACUGGCUCAUUACUGACGCUGAGGCGCGAAAGCGUGGGGAGCAAACAGGAUUAGAUACCCCUGUAGUCCGA
Molecule: ribosomal RNA, 445 nt
Filed under: uncultured bacterium
Lineage: Bacteria
Description: bacterial SSU rRNA
Rfam family: Bacterial small subunit ribosomal RNA
Source: RNAcentral